RNAcentral lists this ribosomal RNA (484 nucleotides) under uncultured bacterium. Its description in RNAcentral is "partial 16S ribosomal RNA". It matches the Rfam family "Bacterial small subunit ribosomal RNA", at positions 30 to 507 of the family's 1533-position model. The record is from RNAcentral.
AUUGAACGCUGGCGGCAGGCCUAACAUAUGCCAGUCGAGCGGAUGAAGGGAGCUUGCUCCUGGAUUCAGCGGCGGACGGGUGAGUAAUGCCUAGGAAUCUGCCUGGUAGUGGGGGAUAACGUCCGGAAACGGGCGCUAAUACCGCAUACGUCCUGAGGGAGAAAGUGGGGGAUCUUCGGACCUCACGCUAUCAGAUGAGCCUAGGUCGGAUUAGCUAGUUGGUGGGGUAAAGGCCUACCAAGGCGACGAUCCGUAACUGGUCUGAGAGGAUGAUCAGUCACACUGGAACUGAGACACGGUCCAGACUCCUACGGGAGGCAGCAGUGGGGAAUAUUGGACAAUGGGCGAAAGCCUGAUCCAGCCAUGCCGCGUGUGUGAAGAAGGUCUUCGGAUUGUAAAGCACUUUAAGUUGGGAGGAAGGGCAGUAGGUUAAUACCUUGCUGUUUUGACGUUACCAACAGAAUAAGCACCGGCUAACUUCGUG